This 1131-nucleotide ribosomal RNA is filed under the name Triticum aestivum (bread wheat). Its description in RNAcentral is "partial small subunit ribosomal RNA". Lineage: Eukaryota; Viridiplantae; Streptophyta; Magnoliopsida; Poales; Poaceae. The record is from RNAcentral.
AUGCCGCCGUCGAGCCGCCCGAGGGAGCCGCUCUCCCUCUCGCUCCCGGGCGCCGGCGGCCGCUCGCAGGACUUCCCCUCGCUCUUCUCCGACCUCACCUCGCUCCUCCUCCACCACUCCCCCGCCGCCGCCGCCACCCCCCACGGCCGCGCCCCGGUCUUCUCCUCCUCCACGCUCUCCAUCCCCGCCCCCGCCGCCCCGGCGCAGGCGCAGGCGCAGUCCCAGCCGCAGGCGCCGACGCCGCUGGAGCGGGCGGCCAUCGGGGCGUGCGCGGGGGCGGCGGCGGGGGCCUUCACCUACGCGGCGCUGCUGCCGCUCGACGCCGUCAAGACGCGGCUCCAGGCGGGGGCCGCCUCGCGCGGCUCCUGGCAGGUGUUCGCCGACAUCCUCCGCGCCGACGGCCCCCUCGGCCUCUACCGGGGCCUCUCCGCCGUCAUCCUCGGCUCCGCCACCUCCUCCGCCAUCUACUUCGGCACCUGCGAGCUCGCCAAGUCGCUGCUGCGCCCGCACCUCCCCCCGUUCCUCGUGCCCCCGCUCGCCGGCGCCAGCGGCAACAUCUCCUCCUCGGCCAUCAUGGUGCCCAAGGAGCUCAUCACGCAGCGCCUCCAGUCGGGCGCCGCCACGGGCCGCUCCUGGCAGGUGCUGCUCCAGAUCCUCCAGGCCGACGGCUUCUUCGGCCUCUACGCGGGGUACGCAGCCACCCUGCUCCGGAACCUCCCCGCCGGCGUGCUCAGCUACUCCUCCUUCGAGUACCUCAAGGCCUUCGCCCUCAGCAAGAGCAACGCCGCCAACCUGACGCCGGGGGAGAGCGUGCUGUGCGGCGCGCUCGCCGGCGCGAUAUCCGCGGGGCUCACCACCCCGCUCGACGUCGUCAAGACCCGGCUGAUGACCAGGGUGGGCGCCGCCCAGGGGAGCCGCACGGUGGUGGGCACCAUGCAGGAGGUCAUCGCCGAGGAAGGCCUGAUGGGUCUGUCCCGGGGGAUCGGACCGAGGGUCCUGCACAGCGCCUGCUUCGCUGCGAUUGGCUACUGCGCCUUCGAGACGGCCAGGCUCAUGAUCCUCAAGUCAUACCUUGAAUCGUGCGAGAGGAAGGCCGCUGCCGAGACCAAGACCGGAGUUGCCGCUGCCUGA